AGGAUGAACGCUGGCGGUCUGCUUAACACAUGCAAGUCGAACGGAGUACCUCGGUACUUAGUGGCGGACGGGUGAGUAACGCGUGAGAAUCUGCCCUUAGGUCGGGGACAACCAUUGGAAACGAUGGCUAAAUACCGGAUAAGCCGAGAGGUAAAAGAUUAAUUGCCUAGGGAAGAGCUCGCGUCUGAUUAGCUAGUUGGUGAGGUAAAGGCUCACCAAGGCAUCGAUCAGUAGCUGGUCUGAGAGGAUGAUCAGCCACACUGGGACUGAGACACGGCCCAGACUCCUACGGGAGGCAGCAGUGGGGAAUUUUCCGCAAUGGGCGAAAGCCUGACGGAGCAAGACCGCGUGAGGGAGGAAGGCUCUUGGGUUGUAAACCUCUUUUAUCAGGGAAGAACACAAUGACGGUACCUGAUGAAUCAGCAUCGGCUAACUCCGUGCCAGCAGCCGC
RNAcentral lists this ribosomal RNA (451 nucleotides) under uncultured bacterium. RNAcentral describes it as "SSU rRNA". It matches the Rfam family "Bacterial small subunit ribosomal RNA", at positions 26 to 518 of the family's 1533-position model. The record is from RNAcentral.